Molecule: long non-coding RNA, 754 nt
Organism: Amblyraja radiata (thorny skate)
Lineage: Eukaryota; Metazoa; Chordata; Chondrichthyes; Rajiformes; Rajidae
Exons: 3
Source: RefSeq, a predicted model, not a curated record
AUUAAUGGAAAAUGAUUGCAAGUGGAAUGAAAAAUGGACCGCCCUGUGCCAUACAGCAACAGCCUCCCCUGACAACUUAUUUCUGGGGUGUCCAAAACCAUCCAGUGGACUGGACCUGGCCUGUUCAAUGAUACGAAGCACAACGUCUUCUGGUGAAAAACUUGCCAGGAGAAACAGUCAAUCUGCAAAUGGAGAAUGGAGAACAAAGAUGCAAGUAUUAAUCUUGAGGGAAGACAGGAGUGAUAUUUUGGAAAUGAAAACAUAAUCCAAAAAUAUAUCUUAAAAAAAGAUAAUAUUGUCCUUUUUAUCAAACCAUGGUUCAUCAGGAAGCAUAUUAUCCAUAAGAGUGGACUUUUCUACAUCAGCAAGACCAAACGCAGACUGGGCAAUCGUUUCGCUGAAUAUGUUCGCUCGGUCCGCCUGGACCUACUUGAUCUACCAGUUGCCAAACACUUUAAUUCCCCUUCCCAUUCCCACAUUGACUUUUCUGUCCUACGCCUCCUCCAUUGUCAGAGGCCAAAAUUCAAAUUUGAGGAACAGCAUCGCAGUUUAAAACCCAGUAGUAUGAAUAUUAAUAUCUCUAACUUCAAGUAACCCUUGCAUCCCCCUCUCAAGUCGUACCAACUUAAGUAAUCUUGUUGAGUCUCAUUGUCUACACUCAUUUUCACUGAGACCACAGCUAACAAUGGCCAGUUUCCCUUAUCAUCGUUACUUUUUGGAAUAUUUUUCAUUAAUUUGUUCUAUAUCUCUUUAC